This 133-nucleotide small nucleolar RNA is filed under the name Saimiri boliviensis boliviensis (Bolivian squirrel monkey). Its description in RNAcentral is "Small nucleolar RNA SNORA70 (ENSSBOG00000019173.1)". It matches the Rfam family "Small nucleolar RNA SNORA70". From Rfam's summary of the family: snoRNA U70 seems to be exclusive to mammals and is a member of the H/ACA class of snoRNA which contain H (ANANNA) and ACA box motifs. H/ACA box snoRNAs are involved in the conversion of uridines to pseudouridines (5-ribosyluracil) a constituent of structural RNAs (transfer, ribosomal, small nuclear, and small nucleolar). The record is from Rfam by way of RNAcentral. Lineage: Eukaryota; Metazoa; Chordata; Mammalia; Primates; Cebidae.
CUGCAGCCUGUUAAGCUGACUGGGUUCCUUGCCUCGGGGGGCCAGUGUGCAGUGGCUGCAGACAGCAGCUUCCUUGGUAGUGUAUGCAGCCUUUUUCUUGAAUGGGUUGCUCUAAGUGACCUUGGAGACAGGC